CUUAAAACAAAUAUUUUUGAUGCGAAGUCAGUCUUUCAUUGCACAAAGGACAAAGAUUUACAUUCUUUGUCCAGUGAAGUCUUGUGACCUUUAGUUAUUAGAUCAGACAAGCUAUUUUUGUACUUUACUUGUGUAAGUGUGGUAUGUAAUUCCAUUAUUCACAAAGAAUUUGUGAAAUUUAUAGCCUUUACCAGAAAUUGUAACAUAGUGGGAAUUUCUGUCGAUUUGUUAGGAUGCACACAUCUAAAGGGACUUUUAGACCUACUCCAGAACUACAUAUGGAAACUUCCACUGAAAACCAACAGCUAAGACUGUGUCAUAGAAUCAUAGAAUCAUAAUAUAAUGAUAAUGUGUCAAUAAAAGGUAUCACAUUAGAUAUUACUGAAAAUAUUGUAUCUUAAAGUAGUACAAUUCUCUUUUGAAACACAACUGUAUAUCUUUUAUUUUGUUACAGAAUACAUGUCUUUGUUAUAUAAGUCCAAGAACUACAACAGUGGAAGAAGUAAAUGCGUAAAAAUCAGGAGCAUUAAUCAUACUAAUAGAAAAGAGGCAGACUUCCCUUUCAAUACAAGAAUAAUGUAUUGCUCUCAUGACAGUUUAUUCUUUCAUUAUCAUUUUGAUUAUCGUAGGACUGACUUCUCUCAUAACUGGUGGUGACUCCAAUGCUUGCAAUUCAUGCUGAAAUAAAUAUGAUAUUCAUCAUAUCUGAACUGAACCUAACCCAAAGUCAACAAAGUUGUGCUUCUGUAUUUACAGAAUCGAGAGUCAGUUGAUAUUUCCAUCAUACCCUUUAUUUUUAAAGGUCUUAACUUGGAUUUUGCUUUUCAUUGUGUUUAUUUUAGACUUUCUAUAGUUAAUAUAUUAACUGCAUGAAAACUGCAUUUGAAUGAAGAAUCAAAUAUGCAAGCCAAAGAAAAAUCUUUUCCCAACUUUAAAAUGCAUGAUUUUUUUCAGUGCUUGGAAAGGCAAAGCCUCCUCCCAUGAAGAACAGUCCAAAAUAGAUUUUGUCCAAAGAUAACAGCUUGUGGUCCCAGAACUGGCUCCAGGAAAACAGGGUGUGGGUCCACGACUUCCCUGCCACUUUCGCCGCCAGACUGCUCAGGGCCGGCCCCUACCCGCCAACAAUUUUUUUUUUUCCCUUCUAUUUCUCUUCCUUUUUUUCCGGGCCUGUCCCCCUUGUCAUGGCUGCAGAUCCUUAGAUGACACCAUGACACCUGUCACACAGAUUUUACUGCUCUUGAAAAGCAGCACAACUCCAGUUUGGUGGGAAUUUUGCCUAGCAUGGGAACUGGGGAGGUCCUAUCCUUGCUUGAUGCAAUGGAGACAUGGAGGUUGAGCAGUGAGAUCCAGGAGUGACACCCAAGGAGUGCACUGUUCUGCUGACAUCAGAGGAGUGGUGACAACUCUUGCCUGAAGUGCCACUGAGAGACCUUGCUGAACUAAGCAAAUGGUAGGAAGGAGGCCUGAGUGCUGAAAUGCUAGCAGGUAAGUCCACAGUCUGUGUGACCAGAUGUUAGCUAAUCUCAGCCAUUUGCUGCAGCAGUGUGAAUUGCCCAUUGACAGCACUGGGCUGGAGAUCUGUAAUGAUGAUUAACAAUACCUACUGAAUCACUGUCAUUUUGAUUGUCAUGCUACUGGUGGUUGUAUAUGCAGGGAUACACCACAGGAUAUUUUUAAGUCUAAAGCCUGAAUUAUUAUCUUGGUCAGAACAACAUGAAUAUAUUCUAAUCCCUUAAUUUUGUGCCAGAAGGAUACCGGGGUUCAUGUUGUCCCCCAUGGCUCUUCUUUUCUUUGAGUUAGAUGAAGGAAAUGAAGCAAAGCCAAUUCCACCGAAGCUCUGAGUUUUUGAAUGAAAAGUAGUGGAGGUUCAGCAAAGUAAAUAGGAAAACAUCAGUUGAAAAAAAUCCCAUAAAACAAAAGAAUAAUAUUUAAAAGAGUAGGGACAGGAAAUUACUUGUGAGAAAUGCAAAACACUGAGUGAUUUCUUUUUUAAAUGUAUGUCGCCAGUUUAGUGUUUAAAGCUGCUCAAUGGCUGGGAUAGAAACUUCUUGUGAAAUAUAUUAGGUGUUUAGAGUCACUUAGUGGUUAGUAAAAUACCCUCCUAAUGGAACAACGUAUUAAUUGCUCAGGGCCACUCAAAGCAAACACAUAUAAAAUAUUUAAAUGUCUGGAGAUGCUCAGCAGCUUGAUAACCAACUUUAUUUAAUAAAGUCUGUUCAGUGUUUAGAGGUGAUCAGUGGCUGGGAAAACAACCCAUACUCAGCAGUAGAAAUGCGGGGCUAAUAAAAUACAGAGCUGCUCAGUGGCUGCAGCAAGGUUUCUAAAGCUGCUCUAAAAUUAGGGAAACUGAAUUAAGUAGAGAAUAACAGUAGAGACACUGGGUAGUUCCGCAGGAUUAAUGGCUGACUGGGAUGAGUUGAUGGCCUGUAGCUACACUUCAGGUCAUUAACCCCAGCUGGUCUUCAGAAUUCGCCCAGCACUGAAGUCAUCAUUACUGUUGUAAUCAGUAAAAAAAAAAAAAAAAAAACUACAAAACAAACAGCCAAAAAAAACCCAACAAUUCCUCAGCAGCCUUAUGUGUAUUAUGUAUAUGAAUGUCUGUAUUGUGUCUAUGUACUCUAGGGAGAGACUUGCAUAUUCAUACUUACAUGGAUUUUCACUUGAACAACUGCAAUGUUUUUUAGUUAGUUAAGAUUAUUGAGAGAUCUACUUCAAUUUCCACUUGUACAUGAAUCAUAAUCAAAGUUUUGAUGCACUGCACUUUCCAGUUGCUGCUGUCUGCACUCCUGAAAGGCAAGAAGGAGCAUUUCAGUUGGGAUAUUUAGCGUGGCCUCAUGUAGGUUAAAUGGAAGCUUCAUUUGGGUACUUUCCAAGUGUCCUAUGUCCUUCACAUACUGAUCUGCUUUCCUUUUCAUGAAUAGCAGAGUGGCAGCAUUAUUUACUGUUGUACUUGGCAUUUUUAUAGGAUAAUGCACCCAGAAGGAUAAUAAAGAAUUUUUCAGAGACUCUUUGGAGAUUGCUGGGCUUGCUGUUGAAAUGCAUUUUCCCUUGGGAUGAUGCCAACCCUUUCUGGGACAACAGUAUUACACGGUAGUGUUUUAACAGGAGGAAGUGUAGAUAAAAUUUAAAUGAAACAACAGGGGAAAUGUGGGCAGGGCAUAAAUGCCUCCUGGAGUUUAGCCAGGAUUAACUUCCUCAGGUCAUUCUACAACUCGUUCUGAUUCAGUCCAGCCAUGAACAUAUCUACACUGUCCUGGGUUUAGCAUUUGCCUUAAUUCCCUCUGUUCAAUCAUUUAGGAGGUAGCUGCCAUGCUGCACGUUCCAGAGCUAAAAAUCAUACUUGCAAACUGCUUCUAAUAUGUAAACAAAGAUUCUACUGGACUAGGAUAUAAUUUUGCAAAUCAACAGGAGAUACCAUAAUUGUUUAAAUGCUCUGAAUUAUACUCUGAAAUGUAGCCUGGAAACAUUUACAUCUCCAUGCCUUGUUGCCUGAAGCUAGAUUGUUAUAAUGACCCUCAACCCUCAGGUUAACAUAUCAAUGGAAGAAGUUGAGGAAUUUAAUACAGAUUUACGUGCUCAUCUUCUAGGCCCCUAAAUUUGACUGUUUUGACUAUUAUCUGUGCUUCUUUGUUUUUCCACUGAAUACCAGAAUCAUCUGACAAGAUAGAUAUAAGCAGAUGCAGUUCAGACAUUUUAUCAGGUGCUUUCAGGCAGUCCUUUCAGUGACAGCAAAUGCUUCCCUGCUUCCCAACACUAAUUUUUACCAUUCUACCACCUCACUGCUCUCUGCCUAGACUGUGACAAGAUAUGACAAGCCAUCAGUAUCACAAAUCUUUUACUGGAAUGACAGUGAUGUUGAUAUUGGUAGUUUCUUUCUCUUCUGUUAUUUAUUUGCAUUCACUUGAGCUGUUUUUAUAUGUUUUCUAACAUGCUGUUUUAUGUACAUUAAUUUUUAUUUGUUUUCUGAUGCUCCUACAACUCUUUUUGUCCAGCUUUGGGCCUGUAUUUCUUUGACUGUCUGGUAAGCUGUUUACACUUCUAAGCAAUGUUACAUCCCUUAUCACCGCUUGCCUGUAGUCCUCUAUGCUACAACUGUCCCCAGUUCUCAAGCUACCUGCUGUUACACCUAGUCUGUAAUCGUCUACAGUGCACUAUUAAGUUAAAGACAUAAAUAAGGAGUUCAACACUUCAUAUCUACUUAAUAUCACUUGUUAGCACUGAUCAUUAGAAAAAAUACUUUUACAAUUAACACAUGCAUUGAAAAAACAGAAUUCUGGACUGUUUAUGAGAAGUUCAGGAAAACCACUGCUGACAAACCUCAAUGAAAUAUUUGCGUUAUUACUGGUUAUGUCAGUGUCAGUACUGUAUUACUGACCUACAAAGCUAUGGCAGGAGGACUCUCUUCCUCAGGAAUGAAGGCUGUACUUCCUCCUCUGAUUCCAUCCCUCAUUCCAUUGAUGUGUGGAGGAUAAGACAGAAAGAAAAGUGAAUCCAUCUUUCCCUCCCUUUUUCAUCUAUAGAAGUACUAUGUGCUGUUGAUCUUCUGAAUCCUGCAGCUUUAAAGGGAGAAUAUGAAGUCUGACCAGACAAGUCUAUGAAUUCUGAGCAACAUAUAUUGGCAAGGAAGAACUGAAAUUGCUAUACCAAGUCAUCAUAUCAAACUACUGGGAGUAACACUGUCAGUAGUAAAUUGCUAUGUUGCAAGACAGCAGGUAGCAGAGGAAGCUCCUAGCAGGGAGAGAUGGAUGAGAGAUAUAGUAGCUUACACCCCACCGGAAAGGAUUACCAGUGAAGCCCCAAAGGAAUAUAAACAAUUUGAUAAAAUUUGGACAGAGAUUUUAGUAGCACAGACAGAGGCUUUUUCAGUGAAAUCCUCCCCUCCAAUGCUAAGCACGUCAGGUGAGAGUCUAUGUUGUGGCUCUAGGAGAUGCAGCACAGACCUCAAGGCCAAGAGUCAAAGGGGAAAAUAAUGACUUUACAUUACCUCUGCAUCCUCAUAAUUCUGGGCUACCCCUGCAGAGUUGGCCUGAAUUUCUGCUGUUAUGUUCUGCCACCAUACACUUAACACAUCCAUCCUAUUCCAGCUUGGUUUUGUCCCUUUCUUGCCCCAGACUGAGCCAGAGUCUGGAAGACAGAUUACACAAAUGUUUUACCUGCAAACAAAUUUAUCUUGACACAGAUAUAUGCCAUGACAAAUCUUAGUCUAAAUGCUUAGAGUUUGGUAGAGCAAUAAACAUCUGAAGUGUCUAAAAAUGUGUUACAAAAGCCUUAAUGAUAUAUGGGGUCUAUUUUGUGUGUGUGUGGGUGGGGGGAGGGGGAGGGAGUGUUAAUGUUUUCUGUGUUCUGAAGUCCUUAUUUAACUAUUCACAUAUUCAAUAAAAGAAAUCAACAAACCAAAACAAACCACUACCAUCACCACCACCAAAGAAAAAAAAAAAAAAACAGCCUAAAGUUUCAAGUUAUUGAGGUAAUUUAUAUAUUCAUUCACUUCCAGAUUUUUCCCCUUAUCAGCCACAUUGUAUUGCAAAAAUAUAGUUCUGUGCAUUUUGUUUAGGAAGGAUUCAAACCUGCAUUACUAUGUUUUGUCUAGUGACAGUAUCAGAUAAAAAUAAUGCUACUAUCUUUGUAAAUUGGUAAUGAAGUGAUACCUCUCUGUAUGUAUAUAUGUUUUUUUUUAAAAGGAAAUCUGUUUUCUGCCCUACAACCUUAUUAAAAAAAUUAACAUUUCAAGAGUUGCCGUCAUCUUUCACAUUUUCCAAGUGGACUGACUCCCAUCCCUAUAACAUUUUUUUCUGAUUAGCGUGCUGUCCUUUUUAAUCAAUAAAGCUACAAAGCCAGCUAUCUCUCACACUAUGGUUAUCUUUCAUUGUACAGUACAUAAUGCCGCUAGUCCUGCUGAUAACAAAGGGCACACAGACAGAAUGUGGCACUGUGUGUUUGUUAUCUUCCACUCAACUAAACAUACCUCUUUCUCUCUUGGCUCUUAUCAAUGCAAAAAUGCUGGAAACAAGUUACUCCUAGUGUUAACACUGCACAUGCCACGCAGUCGGGAUGGAGAUUUUUUCCUGUCUUAAGGCAGCCAAUUUGAUACAGCACUACAAAAGCCUGCCAAGGUGAUGCAUCACCUUGUCAGCCUUUAAGAAGGCAGUGCGAAGUGGCACCGUCAGCAGCCAGCUGUACCCAGCUAACCAGAAUGCUCUGGAUGCUCCGGGAGCAUAAGGCAGGGAGAUUGACCCCAGAGCUGUUUGUGGUUGACCUCAGACCUGCAAAAAGGAAAGUAAUCCAGUUCUAUUCUUUUUCAUUUCCUACAAAACAUAAAAGCUGAUAAGCUUUGGUCUCUCUCAUGGCAAUAAGAAAACAGUUAAAUUGAACCUUCAGUUCAGUUAGAGAACAAUCCAGCGAUUUCUGUUCUUGCAGGUCUGCCACUCACAAAGGAUGAAAGUGCCUUUCUCGGGAAAAAAAAAAAAGAUAGGACCAUUUUUUUAUGUGUUCCUUGACACAAAACACCCUAAUGGAUGCUGGUUCGGUCCUUCUGAACUUGAGAAGUAUAACUAAGAUAUUUUAUUGGUACUCUAGGAGAACCUGAUGUUCCCCAUUUAAACAGAGCUUUGAUCGUGUGUUCAGACAAAAUUUGCAAGAGACCUACCAUUUUUCCCUUUGCUCUCAACUGAUCUUUAAAAAAGCUUAAACUGAUGGUUACUGACUUCCACAAUAUUUUCCUGUUUUUUUUUUGUUGUUGUUUGUUUAUUUAAGAAAAGACUGGAAUGGCCCAUAAAAAAGCAAAAUGUGUAAGCUUCUAAGAAAUAAAACAAGUACAUUUUUGCUGAGAGUAUAAGUGUGUUAGCUUAUGUGUGUGCAGUAUGUGUAUGACAAAAUCCUUGUUAACUAAGAAGAGUUUGAAGAAAAAACAAGCAUGUGUAUACCUAUAUAGCAUAUCCAUCUUUAUAAAUAAAUAGCAAGAUCUUAUUACAUGUUUUAUUGCAUGAUUUUUAUCAGAAGCAUGAGAACUUUUCAAAUAUAUAUGCAACAUAAAAAUAUAAUUUUAUAUCAAUACUGUACUUGAUAAUACUCAAAUAAUCUCCAAAACACAGUUAUUCCUGUGUUGGAAACACUUCAGAUUUUGUAAUUUCUAACCACUAAGUACACUGUUAUGAAGUUUUAAGUAAGAAAUGAUUCUGCAGUUGUGUUUUAUGUCUUGCUUGAGAGCAUGACCUUUGAUAACGGGUAGCAGCAAUGGAAUUCAAAGUGUACAUAGUAUUUACGAUGUGCUCAUAACUGUGUUGCUUCUAGCUCUAGGCAAACACUACGUAUCUGCAUUCAGAUUUUAAAAUAAAUUUACUUCAGUGUGUUGAUAUGUUUGAGUUUGCUUUCUACAAAUAUUCAUCAAUGAGUAGGAGUAGUGUGAAAAACUUGAGAUAAGCAAAUUUACUGUCAAAUACUCAAAUAUCUUUUUGAAGCUGGUGUUGUAUUUUGUGUUGGAUUCUACACUUUGGAUUUCCUUAAUGUACUCCACUGAUGAGCUAAAAAAAAUCACAAAAAAACCCCCAGCAUAUUACU
This is a long non-coding RNA of Numida meleagris (helmeted guineafowl), 7557 nucleotides long. RefSeq lists it as uncharacterized. The record is from RefSeq and is a predicted model, not a curated record. The transcript is spliced from 3 exons. Lineage: Eukaryota; Metazoa; Chordata; Aves; Galliformes; Numididae.